Long non-coding RNA from Symphalangus syndactylus (siamang), 151 nucleotides. RefSeq lists it as uncharacterized. The record is from RefSeq and is a predicted model, not a curated record. NCBI's taxonomy places the organism in Eukaryota, Metazoa, Chordata, Mammalia, Primates, Hylobatidae.
UGCUUCCACAUAUAUCAAGAGAUUCCCUUUCACUUGCAAGUUCUGGGAUACAUGUGCAGAAUGUGCGGUUUGUUACAACCCUGAUUUCAUUUGUCCAUCUCCUGAUGAAGAUGAGUUUCGAGAGGAGACUCACUAUUCUAAGCUAACCAUU